UACGUAGGGUGCGAGCGUUAAUCGGAAUUACUGGGCGUAAAGCGUGCGCAGGCGGUUCGUUGUGUCGGCGGUGAAAGCCCCGGGCUCAACCUGGGAAUGGCAUUGGGAACUGGCUCGCUGGAGUGUGGCAGAGGGGGGUGGAAUUCCGCGUGUAGCAGUGAAAUGCGUAGAGAUGCGGAGGAACACCGAUGGCGAAGGCAGCCCCCUGGGCUAACACUGACGCUCAGGCACGAAAGCGUGGGGAGCAAACAGG
RNAcentral lists this ribosomal RNA (253 nucleotides) under uncultured bacterium. RNAcentral's name for it is "partial 16S ribosomal RNA". It matches the Rfam family "Bacterial small subunit ribosomal RNA", at positions 524 to 776 of the family's 1533-position model. The record is from RNAcentral.